CGGUGGAAGCUGAAUUAAUGAGGAUGAUUCCUGCUCCUGUCAUCUCUAAGCUCCUCACACAUCUUUACCUGCACAUGAGGAAAAUCACUCCUGUAGAAUGCAGAUGUUCAGAUGGAGAUGAUGCCACAUCUGGUCCAGCUGAUGGAAGGUCUUGAAGUUCUCUGACUGGCCUCGACUGAAGAUGGUCUUCUCACUGGAUUUAAGGUUCAGAUGCUCAGUAACAAACUCCACCAAUGUGCUAACAGGGAAGCUUUAGGUUUAUUAAAUGUUGCUAUGAAGGUUUCGCUGUUUUUCUCUGUGAAUGCAAUGUGCUCCAACUGAAACUUGAAUUAGAACUUAGAAGUAAAUCCUUCCAUCUGAAAGGAUUUAGUUGCAUUAAUAACCUCAUAACAUUCUAAUGUUUAUUCCAGUCUUGGUUGAAAAUAGAAUCUCUGUAUUGAUUCAGGUAAAAACUGAACUUCACAGCAUGUUGGAGCAAAACAACCAGAUGAAAACUGUGAUGGUGUUGGAUUGUCAGACCGUAAUGUUGCAGCUCAAAGCAGCUUUUCUAUCUCAGUUCAUUCUGACAUUCAGCCAUGAAUCAACACAGCAGAUGGUGAUCCAUGCUGUGGAAGUCUCACAUCUCCUGAUUUAAUGGAGCUGCUUUGCACUUUUUACACUGUUUAUUCACCAACACUUUAUUUAAUAAAAGUCCCAUCUAGUUUUAAUGAGGAAUGUGAUGUUUUAAUUUCUCUGUGAAUAACUGCAGUCUAAUGCAACAGCUGGAGUUGUAACAUCUGUCCUGAUAUUGAUCAUGAAGUAUUGAUCAGAAUACUUAUGGUUCACUGUCAUCCCUGAAGUUUUACAUUAAAAUCUUUACUUGUGUUGUGAACUUUGGUAAGAAGCAGAAACGUUAGCGUUGCCAUGGAUACAUGAGUGUUAAAUUCUGUCCAUGUUUCCAUUUUGGGAAAUGCAGUCCAGUUCCAGAAUGUGGAGGAAUUUAGUCUCAAUCACAGACAAAAGUCGGGUUAUUGUUGUUUAUCAGCACAAUACAAAAAGAUUAAUGUUAGAAAUAUUCCAGUUAAGACUCUAGAAUAUCAUGAUUUAUGUAAAUUUCCCUCAAUAAUAUGAAUGUUCAGGUUAAGAUUGUGCAGUGAUAUUUAUUAUGUAAGUUUAGCUGGUUAAAGUUUAUGACUCUGCACUAAAAUAUUAUUUAAAUUGACAUCAUUAUUAUAAUAUUUAGGGACAGACCCUACAGUAUUGAGAUUAAGAAAUCAAAUGUUCUAUAAAAUGUAAAUACACUGAACUCAUUUGGAUAUAUUUAAGUGAGACGCUACAAUAUUAUUUGACACAAAUCUAUCUAAAUCAAAUUUUUAAUAAUUUUCAGGCCAAAGAUUUACUGGACUGAUUUAAAUAUUAAAAUCACUCCUUUCUAAUCCUCUGCUGUACGUUCAAACCUGAGGCCUUAAUUAGAAACACACAAGUAUCUGUUUGAAGGAACUUCUGCAGAGUCCUGGUUCCAGAACAUGAUGAUAGAAUUAUAGACAAACUUUAACAAAAGCUGCCUGAGAGUUUACAGGUUUUUAUGUUGGAUUUCUUCAGUAAUUUAAUGAGCGUUAUCAGCAAAAAUCAGGUGUUCAUUUGAUGAACUUCAUUUCCUAAAACAUCCAGAAUUGGAGCUCAUAUCUUUGGCUGCUGUAAAGUUUCUGCUCCUUCAAAGUUCACAACACAAUGAAUGAAUUCCUAAAACACUCUCAAUGCUGGAGAGCGUUUGUGAUGCUGAAGCAGUGAUCAGUUUUUCUGUUUCUUCUCUGGAGAUGCACAAUGAGGGACGUCUGCAGAGACUGAGAAAGAGUCUCACCACAUCCUGACAUGAGGAAAAAGACUUUAUUGAAGACUGCAAUGAGAAAAACUAUCAGACAGCAGACGGCUGCAUUCAAGGUGAGCUCUGAACAUUUGAUCUGGAACAGGAAUUCAAUAACGGCAGCAUGAGCUUCAUUUCAGUCUGUAGCUGCUGAAUUCAUGGAUGAAUCAUCUGGCACUAGAGAAGAAGACCAUCAAACAUCCACAUCAGCUGAUGGAGGUCCAAGAGUCUCACCAAACAAACAACCUACAGAGUGAAGACCUCGAAUCUGAUUGGACGGCCUCCUAUUCAGCCACGUGUGAACAAAUGCCUCUAAGUUGAUUUGUUUUCUAAAAUAAAUCUAGUUUGAGUCCUAA
Long non-coding RNA from Amphiprion ocellaris (clown anemonefish), 2199 nucleotides. RefSeq lists it as uncharacterized. The record is from RefSeq and is a predicted model, not a curated record. Lineage: Eukaryota; Metazoa; Chordata; Actinopteri; Pomacentridae. The transcript has 2 exons.